This 126-nucleotide microRNA precursor is filed under the name Myotis brandtii (Brandt's bat). RNAcentral's name for it is "mir-9193 microRNA precursor family". The record is from Rfam by way of RNAcentral. Lineage: Eukaryota; Metazoa; Chordata; Mammalia; Chiroptera; Vespertilionidae.
AGUGCACCAGUGGGGUCCCUCGGCCUGGCCUGCACCCUCUCGCAAUCUGGGACCCCUUGGGGGAUGUUGGAGAGCUGGUUUCAGCCCGAUGCUGCAGGCCAGGCCGAGGGACCCCACUGGUGCAUG